ACAUCCUCCAAUUGGAAUUACUCUAAAAUUCAUCUGUUUAAUAACCUUUUGCUAAAAAAUGAGUCGAAUGUCCUACAUUCGAAAUAUAAAUCAAAGUAUCAAAAUCUCACCAAAAUAAAUACCAACAUACUAAGAACAUGGUAAAAUAUAUAAUACAAAAUCGACUCAUCACUUGCAUAAAACACCGAUAUGAUAUGGAGCAUCACUCGGGCGUAACCAUGUAAGACAAGGUGUAUGGACUAAAAGAGGAAAAUGAUCUUUUGAGUCAUAUGUGAAAGAGGUUGGGGUUCGACUAUAACACCAGUUGACAAUAUGAGGAGUAGCUCAUCAUAUAAGCCCUUGCAUUGGUAUAUCCCUCACCAAAGUUGGAUAUUUUGUCCACAUUGUCAACUCUUGACACGUUCCUUUAAGUGUGGGUAAUUUUCAAGCUUACAUGUGGAUAACAAAUUGGGUGAAGUGUGAGUAUGUUUUUCACACAAAGGACAACUCGUUCUGAUACUAUGAAGAAAUUUGAAUUGCAUCAUAAAAUUAAUUGACAAUAUAAAGAGUAGCCUAACAUCUUAUAUCCUCUUGCCAUGGCCUAUCCCUCACCAUCGUGGGAAAUUUUGUCCUUACAUCAUCAACUCUCAACAAUAUUAUACAGUUACAUGAUUACGAUGUUGUGUAGUUAUAGUUGUGAUUUCUUGGGGUCAGUGUUGAGUUUGAAAGAGGGAUAAUCCACAUGUGGCUGGUAUCAUGGUCUAAAAUAUCGAUGAUAUCGAAAAUAUCGGUAAUAAAAAAACAUGGAAAUUUCGAUGGAAAUAUCGGGAUAUUAUCGAUAUCGAUAAAAAUUGAAUAAAAACCACGGAAUUGUAAGAAAAAAGGAAAAUUUUAUUGAAACUUUGCAGGAUGUUUAUUUAGUCAAUUAUCUAUUAGUUUAUCACAAAAAAUUGGAAGGAAAUGCAUUGCAUGAUGGAUUUAACUUAUUUAAGUUGAUUAUAUAGCGAGCUGGCAAACAUUGCGAGUGUAGAAAAUAUGUAGUAAUUAAUGAAAGAAGUUUAAACACACCAUAAUCAUUUAUAUAUAAUGAAUUAGUACAAUAUUUUACACUUUAUACAUUGCAUGGUAAGAUACAUGAGUUACUUAGUACCACAUAUAGUUCCUAUGAGGUUCAAAAUUUUCACUAUCUUCAUCAUCUCUAUCUGCAGAGUAAGAGUAUUGUGAAGAGUAGUCAGCAACCAUGGCAAUGGCUUUCAAGAACCAAAAUCCAAAAGUCAAUAGGAAACCGAAUACUUUGGUAUUUUUCGGGAUUUCGGGAUUACCAAACAAAUGGGAUUUGGAAACCAAUCCCAUAUCGAAAAUUUCGGUAUUUUUCGAGAUGGGAUUCCCGAACUUCGGGAUGGUUUUGGUUUGGGAUUUUCGGGAAUUUUUUCUAGCCCUACAUGUAAGUGACCAAAUAAAAAAUUAAAAAAUUAAAAACCACAUGUCAUUGACUAAAUAAUUAAUUGACACAAUUUAAAAUAUAAUACCACAAAGAAUUUGGAAUAUGUGCAAAUUUGUUUCUUGCAAAAAGAAUUCAAAACAAAACCAUAUAUAUAAAUAUUUUAGCAUAUUUUCACAAAAACAUAAGUGAUAUGGUGGUCAAGGCGUAGUCAAAUAGGAGGGGUUCGAAUCCCUCUAUGCGCAAGAUUGAGACUUUUCAUAAAUUUUCAAGUAUUUUUGGGUUUCAUAUCGCGAUAUAUUAACAAUAAUUAAGGAGAUAAGUCACGAAAUAUCGUCAUCUUAAAAAAAUGAUUGCCGAUAUUAUCGAUAUUUUGGUCCAUGGCUAUUAUAUAUAUUUGUCUACUAAUUAAUGACAUAUCAAUUUCCGAAUACCAAAAAUAUAAUUAUAUAGUUGUUUAACAGUGAGCCAAGAUAUGAAUCAAUAAAAUCAUGUCACUUAGUUUUAUUUUUUAUUUUUAACAAAAUUUGAUCUAUAAAUUUAAUAUGCCUAGAAAAUUUAUUAAGUGGACAUUACCUGAGACUGACUCUUGUUAGAACAUACUCAGGAGAGAUUUUUUAUUGUGCAUAAAAAUAGCACAUAGCAAUAUAUCAUUAUACAAAUGAGAAAACACUAAAAAAUAGGUUCUCUUCAUUUGUUUGAUAAUAUAUGACAAACGGACAUGUGUUCUUACUUCUAAGCACAAUGAAAAUCUCUAGUUGAAGGAAGUAGUCCAAUUAUUGAGCAAUUAAUGCUAGGUGCGGUGUCAAAAUUUUGUGGUGGUUUGGUACAGAAAAAUAGUGCCCGUGCUUCUCUGUCUUUGAGGCAGAUUGGGUGCCCUUCCCA
This 2305-nucleotide long non-coding RNA is filed under the name Malus domestica (apple). RNAcentral describes it as "long non-coding RNA (MDOM_LNC017807)". The record is from RNAcentral. Lineage: Eukaryota; Viridiplantae; Streptophyta; Magnoliopsida; Rosales; Rosaceae.